GAUGAACGUUGGCGGCGUGCCUAACACAUGCAAGUCGAACGGCAAUAGCAAUAUUGGAGUGGCGCACGGGUGAGUAACACGUAGCUAAUCUACCUCAAAGCGCGGGAUAACGUGUCGAAAGACAGGCUAAUACCGCAUAAGCUCACGGAAAGUAGAGGACUGUGAGAAAAGGCGCAAGUCACUUUGAGAUGAGGCUGCGGCCCAUCAGCUAGUUGGUGCGGUAAAAGCGCACCAAGGCGACGACGGGUAGGGGACCUGAGAGGGUGACCCCCCACACUGGGACUGAGACACGGCCCAGACUCCUACGGGAGGCAGCAGUGAGGAAUAUUGCACAAUGGGCGCAAGCCUGAUGCAGCGACGCCGCGUGGGUGAAGAAGGUUUUUCGGAUCGUAAAACCCUUUUCUGUGUGACGAGCAAGGACGGUAGCACAGGAAUAAGUCUCGGCUAACUACGUGCCAGCAGCCGCGGUAAUGUCUAGCA
This 480-nucleotide ribosomal RNA is filed under the name uncultured bacterium. RNAcentral's name for it is "bacterial SSU rRNA". It matches the Rfam family "Bacterial small subunit ribosomal RNA", at positions 28 to 532 of the family's 1533-position model. The record is from RNAcentral.